GGCCCCAUCCGGCUCGGCCCGGCUCGGCCCACGGACGCGCGGGUUUCAUCUGCAAGUCUUCCAUUAGCAUACAUCCAACUACCUCAGAAGAGCGUCAUG
Molecule: long non-coding RNA, 99 nt
Organism: Calypte anna (Anna's hummingbird)
Lineage: Eukaryota; Metazoa; Chordata; Aves; Apodiformes; Trochilidae
Exons: 3
Source: RefSeq, a predicted model, not a curated record